Molecule: ribosomal RNA, 481 nt
Filed under: uncultured bacterium
Lineage: Bacteria
Description: partial 16S ribosomal RNA
Rfam family: Bacterial small subunit ribosomal RNA
Source: RNAcentral
GAUGAACGCUGGCGGCGUGCUUAACACAUGCAAGUCGAACGAAGCACUUUAUUUGAUUUCCUUCGGGACUGAUUAUUUUGUGACUGAGUGGCGGACGGGUGAGUAACGCGUGGGUAACCUGCCUUGUACAGGGGGAUAACAGUUGGAAACGGCUGCUAACACCGCAUAAGCGCACGGCAUCGCAUGAUGCAGUGUGAAAAACUCCGGUGGUAUAAGAUGGACCCGCGUUGGAUUAGCUAGUUGGUGAGGUAACGGCCCACCAAGGCGACGAUCCAUAGCCGACCUGAGAGGGUGACCGGCCACAUUGGGACUGAGACACGGCCCAAACUCCUACGGGAGGCAGCAGUGGGGAAUAUUGCACAAUGGGCGAAAGCCUGAUGCAGCGACGCCGCGUGAGCGAAGAAGUAUUUCGGUAUGUAAAGCUCUAUCAGCAGGGAAGAUAAUGACGGUACCUGACUAAGAAGCACCGGCUAAAUACGUG